ACGCUGGCGGCGUGCCUAAUACAUGCAAGUAGAACGCUGAAGGAGGAGCUUGCUUCUCCGGAUGAGUUGCGAACGGGUGAGUAACGCGUAGGUAACCUGCCUGGUAGCGGGGGAUAACUAUUGGAAACGAUAGCUAAUACCGCAUAAGAGUAGAUGUUGCAUGACAUUUGCUUAAAAGGUGCAAUUGCAUCACUACCAGAUGGACCUGCGUUGUAUUAGCUAGUUGGUGGGGUAACGGCUCACCAAGGCGACGAUACAUAGCCGACCUGAGAGGGUGAUCGGCCACACUGGGACUGAGACACGGCCCAGACUCCUACGGGAGGCAGCAGUAGGGAAUCUUCGGCAAUGGACGGAAGUCUGACCGAGCAACGCCGCGUGAGUGAAGAAGGUUUUCGGAUCGUAAAGCUCUGUUGUAAGAGAAGAACGAGUGUGAGAGUGGAAAGUUCACACUGUGACGGUAUCUUACCAGAAAGGGACGGCUAACUACGUGCCAGCAGCCGCGGUAAUACGUAGGUCCCGAGCGUUGUCCGGAUUUAUUGGGCGUAAAGCGAGCGCAGGCGGUUAGAUAAGUCUGAAGUUAAAGGCUGUGGCUUAACCAUAGUACGCUUUGGAAACUGUUUAACUUGAGUGCAAGAGGGGAGAGUGGAAUUCCAUGUGUAGCGGUGAAAUGCGUAGAUAUAUGGAGGAACACCGGUGGCGAAAGCGGCUCUCUGGCUUGUAACUGACGCUGAGGCUCGAAAGCGUGGGGAGCAGACAGGAUUAGAUACCCUGGUAGUCCACGCCGUAAACGAUGAGUGCUAGGUGUUAGACCCUUUCCGGGGUUUAGUGCCGCAGCUAACGCAUUAAGCACUCCGCCUGGGGAGUACGACCGCAAGGUUGAAACUCAAAGGAAUUGACGGGGGCCCGCACAAGCGGUGGAGCAUG
This 924-nucleotide ribosomal RNA is filed under the name uncultured bacterium. RNAcentral's name for it is "bacterial SSU rRNA". It matches the Rfam family "Bacterial small subunit ribosomal RNA", at positions 33 to 941 of the family's 1533-position model. The record is from RNAcentral.